CCUACGGGAGGCAGCAGUGGGGAAUAUUGGGCAAUGGGCGCAAGCCUGAUCCAGCAACGCCGCGUGAAUGAAGCAGUAUUUCGGGUUGUACACUUCUUUUGUCAGGGAAGAGUGGAAGACGGUACCUGACGAAUAAGACACGGCUUACUACUUGACAGACGCCGGGGUAAUUCGUAGGUGGCAAUCGUUGUCCGGAUUUACUGGGUGUAAAGGGCGUGUAGCCGGGUAGACAAGUCAGAUGUGAAAUCCUGCGUCUUAACCGCAGAACUGCAUUUGAAACUGUUGAUCUUGAGUACUGGAGAGGCAGACGGAAUGCCUAGUGUAGCGGUGAAAUGCGUAGAUAUUAGGAGGAACACCAGUGGCGAAGGCGGUCUGCUGGACAGCAACUGACGGUGAGGCGCGAAAGCGUGGGGAGCAAACAGGAGUAGAUACCCCUGUAGUC
This 442-nucleotide ribosomal RNA is filed under the name uncultured bacterium. RNAcentral's name for it is "partial 16S ribosomal RNA". It matches the Rfam family "Bacterial small subunit ribosomal RNA", at positions 338 to 795 of the family's 1533-position model. The record is from RNAcentral.